CAGUAAAUAGUUUAAAUAAAAUAUUAAUUUUGGAGAUUAAAGUUAAGCAUUAGCUUUUUACUGA
Molecule: transfer RNA, 64 nt
Filed under: Dalcantha dilatata
Lineage: Eukaryota; Metazoa; Arthropoda; Insecta; Hemiptera; Tessaratomidae
Description: tRNA-Pro
Source: RNAcentral